Molecule: ribosomal RNA, 554 nt
Filed under: uncultured Bacteroidota bacterium
Lineage: Bacteria; Pseudomonadati; Bacteroidota
Description: bacterial SSU rRNA
Rfam family: Bacterial small subunit ribosomal RNA
Source: RNAcentral
GCCUACGGGAGGCAGCAGUGGGGAAUCUUGCACAAUGGGGUCACCCCUGAUGCAGCCAUGCCGCGUGGAGGAAGACACCCCUAUGGGGCGUAAACUCCUUUUCUGAGAGAAGAACCCCCUGUAGGUUCAGGGUGUGACGGUAUCUCAGGAAUAAGCACCGGCUAACUCCGUGCCAGCAGCCGCGGUAAUACGGAGGGUGCAAGCGUUGUCCGGAAUCACUGGGCGUAAAGGGUGCGCAGGCGGGGCAGCAAGUCGGAGGUGAAAGCCCGUGGCUCAACCACGGAAGUGCCUUCGAAACUGUUGCUCUUGAGUCCCGGAGAGGUUGCCGGAAUUCGUGGUGUAGCGGUGAAAUGCGUAGAUAUCACGAGGAACACCAGAGGCGAAAGCGGGCAACUGGACGGGUACUGACGCUCAGGCACGAAAGCGCGGGGAGCAAACAGGAUUAGAUACCCUGGUAGUCCGCGCCGUAAACGAUGAAUGCUCGCCGUUAUUCCGCUUAAGGAAUAGUGGCUAAGCUAACGCGUUAAGCAUCCGCCUGGGAGACAACGACGGGG